ACCCGGCCAUAGUGGGUGCCAUCCCAAAUAUUGAGCAACACUAGCCACCGGGCAUAAGGGAGACCCUGGGAAAGCAUACAGCACGACAUCUGUACCUCGACCCCGAAUAUCCAUUUUGGACUGGUGGAGAUGUACCACAACCCAAUCCGAUGCCCACCAAAAGUCCGAAACCUGAACACCAGCACAGCCAAGCAGCUUUGAGCUGUCCAGUUUCCCAAUCUGAAACAACCCGAAGAAAGACAAGAGGAAUGCCAC
Non-coding RNA from Pelobates cultripes (western spadefoot toad), 255 nucleotides. Lineage: Eukaryota; Metazoa; Chordata; Amphibia; Anura; Pelobatidae. The record is from the annotation of a GenBank genome assembly.